ACCACUGCUCAGAAAAGAAAUUCCUUUCAAAAUAUUACUGCCCAUUGACAGUGUACCUUGUGACCCCAGAGCUCCAAUGAAGGAGAUAGGGCAGAAGUUAAGGAAUAUGGUGGCGCACGAGUCCGGUAUGGCACAUGUUUUAGUGGAGAGGACCCCGCGGUGACGGGAUGAUAUCACCUCUUCUUCCCUGGUGAAAGUCUGAGGACGUAGACUUUUUUCUCACCAUGAGUGUUACCCCAGUGGUCAAGAGUCCUGGGAUGAAGUUUGCAGAGCAGCAGCUGCUAAAGCAUGGAUGGACUCAAGGGAAAGGCCUGGGCCAGAAGGAAAAUGGCAUCACCCAGGCCCUCAGGGCGACAUUGAAGCAGGACACUCAUGGGGUGGGACAUGAUCCUGCCAAGGAGUUCACAAACUACUGGUGGAACGAGCUUUUCAACCAGACUGCAGCCAACCUGGUGGUGGAAACUGGACAGGAUGGAGUGCAGAUAAGGCACCUUUCUAAGGAGACCACCUGUCAAAAUCGUCCCAGGCCCAACUUGCUGUAUCAGAAGUUUGUGAAGAUAGCCACCCUGACUUCCGAGGGAGAGAAGCCAGAGACUUAGAGAGCUGCAGUGAUGACGACAACCAGAGGCCCAAGCUCCCAAAGAUUCUGACUGAUGAGAUGCUGCUCCAAGCCUCUGAGGAGUGAACAGCACACAAGGCUGCCCGCCUUGGGAUUACAAUGAAGGCCAAGCUUGCUUGGCUAGAGGCCCAGGACAGGCUUUCCUAGCUCAUCUUAGAGGCCAGGACUCUCAGGCCUCUCAACCACAGUCAGAGAGCAAGCCGCCCAAAAAGAAGAAAAAGAAAAGAGAGCAGAAAGAGAAGGAAGAGGCUACAGCAACUGAAAGGAACGCAGAUGAGAAGUGCCCAGAACACACUGACCAGAGCGCCAGGAAAAGCAAGAAGAAAAGGUCUUAGAUGAGACAGGGGGAACAGCUAUAGGGGAUGAGGAGGAAGAGGCUACAGGAACAGGUGGGCUGAGGGAAUUGAGCAGAGGGCCAACUGAUCAGUCCCCCAGGAAAAGGAAGAGAAAAAAGAGGCAGCACCAUGAAGAAAAGAAGAUGGGGGUCUCGGAUGAAGGAGGAAGACAUAAAGAGACUACCAGUGCUGUCAGGAUAGAAGAGGGAGAAAACACAGAGCACACUGACCCAUGCAGUGGAAGCAAGAAGAGGUGGCACCAUGAGGAUUUGAACUUAAGAGAAGACGAUGAAGUUGAGGAAACCAUUCUAGACACUGGGACCAGGGAAACAGAGGACAGAGCACACAGGAGAAGCAGGGGAAGCAAGAGGAGGACACAGCAGCUGGGAGGGAGGGAUGUGAGGGAUAAAAGAGGUGAGAAGGACAGGACCAGGGAGGCAGACAGCAGACCACACUCUGGCAUAAGCAGCAGCCAGAGGAAGAAAGCUGGAAUCAGCAGUGACCAGAGAGCCAGAAAGAAGAAACAGAAGAGAGACUGAAGGUCUGCUCAAGGGGGGCUCAACUGAUUCGCUUUCAGGAGUUGAAGCCUUAGAGACCUGGGUCAAUGCAAGUCUUCUGUGCUCCCUGAAUAAGGAGUAACUGAGCUCUGGAACGUAAGUUUGCUGACAGCGAGUGUAAUGGCACCAUACCUUAGUGUAGGGAUUGGGCAGUCCCUUCUGUAGCUUCUAACCCCAAGACCAUAAGUCAGGUGCCUAUAAGCCAGGUGGGUGAAAGACAAGGAACGUGGGGGCUGUGGGAACUGGAACACAGGUACCCUCUGAAGGGUCAU
This is an RNA transcript of Nycticebus coucang (slow loris), 1783 nucleotides long. It is a transcript of the gene named G patch domain-containing protein 4-like, with no coding region annotated. The record is from RefSeq and is a predicted model, not a curated record. NCBI's taxonomy places the organism in Eukaryota, Metazoa, Chordata, Mammalia, Primates, Lorisidae. The transcript has a single exon.